This 880-nucleotide ribosomal RNA is filed under the name uncultured Klebsiella sp. Its description in RNAcentral is "bacterial SSU rRNA". The stretch from base 55 to 603 matches the Rfam family "Bacterial small subunit ribosomal RNA", at positions 9 to 546 of the family's 1533-position model. Lineage: Bacteria; Pseudomonadati; Pseudomonadota; Gammaproteobacteria; Enterobacterales; Enterobacteriaceae. The record is from RNAcentral.
CGUUUNNNNNNUUUUUUAGCACUUUGUCAAAAGCAGGCUCCGAAUUCGCCCUUAGAGUUUGAUCAUGGCUCAGAUUGAACGCUGGCGGCAGGCCUAACACAUGCAAGUCGAACGGCAGCGGGGGAUAGCUUGCUAUCCUGCCGGCGAGUGGCGGACGGGUGAGUAAGGCAUGGGGAGCUGCCCAAUCGAGGGGGAUAACAACUGGAAACGGUUGCUAAUACCGCAUACGCCCUGCGGGGGAAAGGUGGGGACCAUUUGGCCUACCGCGAUUGGAUGCACCCAUGUGGGAUUAGCUGGUUGGUGAGGUAACGGCUCACCAAGGCGACGAUCUCUAGCUGGUCUGAGAGGAUGACCAGCCACACUGGAACUGAGACACGGUCCAGACUCCUACGGGAGGCAGCAGUGGGGAAUAUUGCACAAUGGGGGAAACCCUGAUGCAGCCAUGCCGCGUGUGUGAAGAAGGCCUUCGGGUUGUAAAGCACUUUCAGUCAGGAGGAAAGGGAGCAGACUAAUAUUCUGUUUCAUUGACGUUACUGACAGAAGAAGCGCCGGCUAACUCCAUGCCAGCAGCCGCGUAUAUACGGAGGGNGGAAACGUUUAAUCCGGAUAAACUGGCGUGAGACUCGCGGUCCGGGUUGAUGAAUAGAAUCAGUGAAGCCACGUGUAAACCGGCGAACUGCAAUUCGAUGGGAUGAGGAGAAGCGGAUAGGGAGGCGAAGAAGUCGAGGGGUGUAGCGUAGUGUUCAUAGUAGCUGAGGGAAUGGUCGUAGGACGAGCGCAAGUAAGCGAGGAGGGGGCGGAAAGGGCGGCGUGGCAGUUAGAAGAGACGGAACGGGGCAAGAUAGGGACAGGGAAGAACAGAGCAAUCGCAGGUAGAGAG